UGGGGAAUUUUGGACAAUGGGGGAAACCCUGAUCCAGCCAUACCGCGUGUGCGAUGAAGGCCUUCGGGUUGUAAAGCACUUUUGGCAGGAAAGAAACGUCAUGGGUUAAUACCCCGUGAAACUGACGGUACCUGCAGAAUAAGCACCGGCUAACUACGUGCCAGCAGCCGCGGUAAUACGUAGGGUGCAAGCGUUAAUCGGAAUUACUGGGCGUAAAGCGUGCGCAGGCGGUUCGGAAAGAAAGAUGUGAAAUCCCAGAGCUCAACUUUGGAACUGCAUUUUUAACUACCGGUCUAGAGUGUGUCAGAGGGAGGUGGAAUUCCGCGUGUAGCAGUGAAAUGCGUAGAUAUGCGGAGGAACACCGAUGGCGAAGGCAGCCUCCUGGGAUAACACUGACGCUCAUGCACGAAAGCGUGGGGAGCAAACAGG
RNAcentral lists this ribosomal RNA (429 nucleotides) under Acidobacteriota bacterium. Its description in RNAcentral is "Acidobacteria bacterium partial 16S ribosomal RNA". It matches the Rfam family "Bacterial small subunit ribosomal RNA", at positions 355 to 776 of the family's 1533-position model. Lineage: Bacteria; Pseudomonadati; Acidobacteriota. The record is from RNAcentral.